Hippocampus comes (tiger tail seahorse) is the source of this 1175-nucleotide long non-coding RNA. RefSeq lists it as uncharacterized. The transcript has 3 exons. The record is from RefSeq and is a predicted model, not a curated record. NCBI's taxonomy places the organism in Eukaryota, Metazoa, Chordata, Actinopteri, Syngnathiformes, Syngnathidae.
GCAAAUUAAUAAAAUUGAUUGACGGCAGUGAGGAGAAGCUACUAUCGUCGCACUUCUCCAAGGUGAGCAACAGCGGAGUUCUUUGGGUUUCCUGGUUCAGACCACCUGCAAGUGGAACAGAAACUAGGUUUCAUGAAGGCAAGUGUGGCGUUUCAUACAGCACCAAAUGACUUUUACAACACGCAGGGAAUAUUUACUGCCGAGAAGAGGCUGAUGACAUCUCCGUCAUGUCAACAUUCUUAACAGCUCAACAUUAACCAACUGGAAAGGCAGAGGCGGCCGCACUUCAAACAAGACCCACAUGCCAAUGCUGAGAGUGCUAUUUUAGGUACGUGAUUCAUAAUUCAACACUCCCAAUGUUAAAGCCUUUGAUACAACUUGUUCUUUUGUGCAAAGUCGUCACAUGUACAGUGAAUAUAAUAAUUCUGCACAUGCCUGUUCCAAUGCGAGGUUCUUGCAUCAUAGAAAAAAAUGAGACUGAGAUUAUUCAUUUCAAAACUUUUUCCAUCAUUAAUGUGACCUGAAAUCAAACAACUGAGUUGCGAGUAAAACCAAACAACUGAGAUGUUGUUUUUGCACAAGUAUGCACACCUUCUGGGGAUGUAGGUGUGUUCUCAAUUAAUAUCCACACUCAUGUUAAAUAUGAGUCCACACACCUUGCCAUCAUUUAAAAUUCCUCUGAUGACUCCCUAAUGAAGUUCAGAUGUUCUAGUAGACUUUCCCUGACAUUUUGUUGCCUUCUAUCAGAGGCCUCGUGGUUUUGUGCUCUUUGGUACUGUUCCUAAUUCCCUCCACUUUGACUAAACAAUGGCUGGAAAGGAUGCCGUCAUCUUACUUCACAAUAGUAUUGGUGCUCUUUUGGUGAUUUGAUUUAUUUGUCUAUUUAUUUAUUUGGUUAUUCAUUCAUUUAUAUAUGUAUGUAUUUAUAAAAGGAAAAUGAUUCAAAGCUACCUGACUGCUUUCCCUCUAAACCUAAUAACUGGUUGCGCCACGCUCAGCAGCAACAACUGAAAUCAAGUGGUUUCUACAACUAGCCAUGAGUCUUUCACAUCUUUGUGGAGAUAUUUUGGCCCAUUCUACCUUGCAGAAUUGUUUACAUUCAAAAACACUGGAGGGUUUUUGAGCAUGAAUCGCAUUUUUAAGGUCAUACCACAGCAUUUCAAUUGGAUUCAAGC